GACGAACGCUGGCGGCGUGCCUAAUACAUGCAAGUAGGACGCAGUUGCGAACGGGUGGGUAACGCGUAGGUAACUACCUACUAGAGGGGGAUAACUAUUGGAAACGAUCGCUCAUACCGCAUACUCGUAGAUGGACCUGCGUUGUAUUAGCUAGUAGGUAGGGUAAUGGCCUACCUAGUCGAUGAUAAAUAGCCGACCGGAGAGGGUGAUGGGCCACACGGGGCCUGAGACACGGCCCAGACUCCUACGGGAGGCAGCAGUAGGGAGUCUCCGGCAAGGGGGGGAACCCUGACCGUGCAACGCCGGGGGAGUGAAGAAGGUUUUCGGAUCGGAAAGAUCUGUUGUUAAGGAAGCGGUACUUAACCAGAAAGGGACGGCUAACUACGUGCCAGCAGCCGCGGUAAUUC
Molecule: ribosomal RNA, 407 nt
Filed under: uncultured bacterium
Lineage: Bacteria
Description: partial 16S ribosomal RNA
Rfam family: Bacterial small subunit ribosomal RNA
Source: RNAcentral